GUUUAUAUAGCUUAUUUAGAGUUUAAUAUUGAAGAUAUUACGGAGGAAUUUUUUUUCUUGUAAAUA
Molecule: transfer RNA, 66 nt
Filed under: Hylica paradoxa
Lineage: Eukaryota; Metazoa; Arthropoda; Insecta; Hemiptera; Cicadellidae
Description: tRNA-Phe
Source: RNAcentral